UACGGAGGGGGCAAACGUUGUUCGGAAUCAUUGGGCGUAAAGCGCACGUAGGCGGCCUGUUAAGUCGGAUGUGAAAUCCCUCAGCUUAACUGAGGAAGUGCACUCGAAACUGGCAGUCUUGAGUAUGGAAGAGGGUCGCGGAAUUCCCGGUGUAGAGGUGAAAUUCGUAGAUAUCGGGAGGAACACCAGUGGCGAAGGCGGCGAUCUGGGAAGAUACUGACGCUGAGGUGCGAAAGCGUGGGGAGCAAACAGG
Molecule: ribosomal RNA, 253 nt
Filed under: uncultured bacterium
Lineage: Bacteria
Description: partial 16S ribosomal RNA
Rfam family: Bacterial small subunit ribosomal RNA
Source: RNAcentral